RNAcentral lists this unclassified non-coding RNA (378 nucleotides) under uncultured Simkaniaceae bacterium. RNAcentral describes it as "contains 16S-23S intergenic spacer region". Lineage: Bacteria; Pseudomonadati; Chlamydiota; Chlamydiia; Parachlamydiales; Simkaniaceae. The record is from RNAcentral.
UCCUAGUUAACCUAGGCAGUCUCACUAGAGUCCCCGCCAUUACGCGUUGGCAACUAAUGAUAAGGGUUGCGCUCGUUGCGGGACUUAACCCAACACCUCACGGCACGAGCUGACGACAGCCAUGCAGCACCUAUACAAAGGCCCUUGCGGGCGGAACCAUCUCUGGCACCUUCCUCUGUACUUCUAACCUGGGUAAGGUUCUUCGCGUUGCAUCGAAUUAAACCACAUGCUCCACUGCUUGUGCGGGCCCCCGUCAAUUCUUUUGAGUUUCACCCUUGCGAGCGUACUCCUCAGGCGGUAUACUUAUCGCGUUAGCUACGACACAGCCGGGGUUGAGCCCAGCUACAUCAAGUAUACAUCGUUUACGGCAAGGACUAC